AUUGAACGCUGGCGGCAGGCCUAACACAUGCAAGUCGAACGAGUGGCGGACGUGUGAGUAAUGUCUGGGAAACUGCCUGAUGGAGGGGGAUAACUACUGGAAACGGUAGCUAAUACCGCAUACCAUCAGAUGUGCCCAGAUGGGAUUAGCGAGUUGGUGGGGUAACGGCUCACCAAGGCGACGAUCCCUAGCUGGUCUGAGAGGAAGACCAGCCACACUAGAACGGUGACACGGUCAAGACUCCUACGGGAGGCAGCAGUGGGGAAUAUUGCACAAUGGGCGCAAGCCGGAUGCAGCCAUGCCGCGUGUAUGAGUAAGGCUUUCGGGUUGUAAAGUACUUUCAGAGGGGAGGCGUUACCCGCAGAAGAAGCACCGGCUAACUCCGUGCCAGCAGCCGCGGUAAUUC
Molecule: ribosomal RNA, 406 nt
Filed under: uncultured bacterium
Lineage: Bacteria
Description: partial 16S ribosomal RNA
Rfam family: Bacterial small subunit ribosomal RNA
Source: RNAcentral